Cavia porcellus (domestic guinea pig) is the source of this 495-nucleotide long non-coding RNA. RefSeq lists it as uncharacterized. Lineage: Eukaryota; Metazoa; Chordata; Mammalia; Rodentia; Caviidae. The transcript is spliced from 3 exons. The record is from RefSeq and is a predicted model, not a curated record.
UCACAGUUCCUUUUGUGUUGUCAUACUGAAAUUAUGCAGUGAGAUGCAUGCAAUGCUAUUUUGUGUUGCUGUUGAGAAUUCUUAACCCACCAUUGUAUUUGGGGACAUCCAAAUCAAAUCACAGGAUUACAUGAUGCAGGUCCGUUGUGCACUGUUGUCUCUGCAAUGGACAAAGGAACAGGCACUCCACACCCAAUGGCAAGAAUACUAAGGACAUCAUCUUGAUGACUGAUUUGAAAGAAUGCCUUCACUUGGAAAUAAGUCACCAUCCAGAAUGGAAGUCAGCCAACAUUCAGAAAUGUAGAAUAAAGUGAAACAUUCUAACCUUAUGACGGAAUUUUUUUUCUGAAACUAUCCUGAUUCAAAGUGUUUUACCCUGUCAUCUCCAUAAACCACUGUCUUAGAAAAGCAUCUCUGUUAAGAAUGCUGUCUUUGGACUCGGUUAGACUGAGAUUUGAUUACAGCUUCGCCACCUACUAUGCUGUGCAACAUUAA